This 1341-nucleotide ribosomal RNA is filed under the name uncultured bacterium. Its description in RNAcentral is "partial 16S ribosomal RNA". It matches the Rfam family "Bacterial small subunit ribosomal RNA", at positions 28 to 1381 of the family's 1533-position model. The record is from RNAcentral.
GACGAACGCUGGCGGCGUGCUUAACACAUGCAAGUCGAACGGUAAGGCUCCAGCUUGCUGGGGUACACGAGUGGCGAACGGGUGAGUAACACGUGGGUGACCUGCCCUGCACUUCGGGGUAAGCCUGGGAAACUGGGUCUAAUACCGGAUAGGACCGCACCGUGAGGGUGUGGUGGAAAGUUUUUUCGGUGUGGGAUGGGCCCGCGGCCUAUCAGCUUGUUGGUGGGGUAAUGGCCUACCAAGGCGGCGACGGGUAGCCGGCCUGAGAGGGUGGACGGCCACAUUGGGACUGAGACACGGCCCAGACUCCUACGGGAGGCAGCAGUGGGGAAUAUUGCACAAUGGGCGGAAGCCUGAUGCAGCGACGCCGCGUGGGGGAUGACGGCCUUCGGGUUGUAAACUCCUUUCACCAUCGACGAAGGGUUUCUGACGGUAGAUGGAGAAGAAGCACCGGCUAACUACGUGCCAGCAGCCGCGGUAAUACGUAGGGUGCGAGCGUUGUCCGGAAUUACUGGGCGUAAAGAGCUCGUAGGUGGUUUGUCGCGUCGUCUGUGAAAUUCCGGGGCUUAACUCCGGGCGUGCAGGCGAUACGGGCAUAACUUGAGUACUGUAGGGGAGACUGGAAUUCCUGGUGUAGCGGUGAAAUGCGCAGAUAUCAGGAGGAACACCGGUGGCGAAGGCAGGUCUCUGGGCAGUAACUGACGCUGAGGAGCGAAAGCAUGGGGAGCGAACAGGAUUAGAUACCCUGGUAGUCCAUGCCGUAAACGGUGGGCGCUAGGUGUGGGUUUCCUUCCACGGGAUCCGUGCCGUAGCUAACGCAUUAAGCGCCCCGCCUGGGGAGUACGGCCGCAAGGCUAAAACUCAAAGGAAUUGACGGGGGCCCGCACAAGCGGCGGAGCAUGUGGAUUAAUUCGAUGCAACGCGAAGAACCUUACCUGGGCUUGACAUAUACAGGAUCGCGCCAGAGAUGGUGUUUCCCUUGUGGCUUGUAUACAGGUGGUGCAUGGUUGUCGUCAGCUCGUGUCGUGAGAUGUUGGGUUAAGUCCCGCAACGAGCGCAACCCUUGUCUUAUGUUGCCAGCACGUUGUGGUGGGGACUCGUAAGAAACUGCCGGGGUUAACUCGGAGGAAGGUGGGGAUGACGUCAAAUCAUCAUGCCCCUUAUGUCCAGGGCUUCACACAUGCUACAAUGGUCGGUACAGUGGGUUGCCAGUCCGUGAGGGCGAGCUAAUCCCGCAAAGCCGGUCUCAGUUCGGAUCGGGGUCUGCAACUCGACCCCGUGAAGUCGGAGUCGCUAGUAAUCGCAGAUCAGCAACGCUGCGGUGAAUACGUUCCCGGGCCU